UAAUUUUGCAGACUGUAAGGUGUUCCCCCAUGGGAAGUAAAAGGGAAUCCGGUGUGAAUCCGGAACAGUACCCGCUGCUGUAAGGCAUAUUCCAUACAUCUCGUCAAAGCCACUGAUAUUAUUUGGGAAGGCUGAGCUGUUGUGCCGAGUCAGAAAACCUGCCUUACCCUACUUUAUCAU
Molecule: non-coding RNA, 180 nt
Filed under: Bacteroidota bacterium
Lineage: Bacteria; Pseudomonadati; Bacteroidota
Source: RNAcentral